CCUACGGGUGGCAGCAGUGGGGAAUAUUGCACAAUGGGGGAAACCCUGAUGCAGCGACGCCGCGUGAGUGAAGAAGUACUUCGUUACGUAAAGCUCUAUCAGCAGGGAAGAAACACUGACCUUACGGUCAGCAGACGGUACCUGCGUAAGAAGCACCGGCUAACUACGGGCCAGCAGCCGCGGGAAUACGUAGGGGGCAAGCGUUAUCCGGAUUUACUGGGUGUAAAGGGGGCGUAGACGGUGCGCCAAGUCUGGAGUGAAAUGCCUCAGCUUAACUGCGGAACUGCUGUGGAAACUGGCGAACUAGAGUGCGGGAGAGGUAAGCGGAAUGCCUAGUGUAGCGGUGAAAUGCGUAGAUAUUAGGCGGAACUCCGAUGGCGAAGGCGGCUUACUGGACCGUAACUGACGUUGAGGCUCGAAAGCGUGGGGAGCAAACAGGAUUAGAUACCCUAGUAGUC
RNAcentral lists this ribosomal RNA (458 nucleotides) under uncultured bacterium. RNAcentral's name for it is "partial 16S ribosomal RNA". It matches the Rfam family "Bacterial small subunit ribosomal RNA", at positions 338 to 795 of the family's 1533-position model. The record is from RNAcentral.